This 314-nucleotide ribosomal RNA is filed under the name uncultured soil bacterium. RNAcentral describes it as "bacterial SSU rRNA". It matches the Rfam family "Bacterial small subunit ribosomal RNA", at positions 26 to 341 of the family's 1533-position model. The record is from RNAcentral.
AGAUUGAACGCUGGCGGCAGGCCUAACACAUGCAAGUCGAGCGGUAGAGAGGUGCUUGCAUCUCUUGAGAGCGGCGGACGGGUGAGUAAUGCCUAGGAAUCUGCCUAGUGGUGGGGGAUAACGUUCGGAAACGGACGCUAAUACCGCAUACGUCCUACGGGAGAAAGGCGGGGGACCUUCGGGCCUCGCGCCAUUAGAUGAGCCUAGGUCGGAUUAGCUAGUUGGUGAGGUAAUGGCUCACCAAGGCGACGAUCCGUAACUGGUCUGAGGGGAUGAUCAGUCACACUGGAACUGAGACACGGUCCAGACUCCUA